RNAcentral lists this unclassified non-coding RNA (253 nucleotides) under uncultured Actinomycetes bacterium. RNAcentral describes it as "uncultured actinobacterium contains 16S-23S intergenic spacer region". It matches the Rfam family "Bacterial small subunit ribosomal RNA", at positions 524 to 776 of the family's 1533-position model. Lineage: Bacteria; Bacillati; Actinomycetota; Actinomycetes. The record is from RNAcentral.
GACGUAGGGACCGAGCGUUGUCCGGAUUUAUUGGGCGUAAAGCGCGCGCAGGCGGCCGCGCAAGUCGGAUGUGAAAACCCGGGGCUCAACCCCGGGCCUGCAUCCGAUACUGCGUGGCUAGAGGCAGGUAGGGGAGAUCGGAAUUCCCGGUGUAGCGGUGAAAUGCGCAGAUAUCGGGAGGAACACCGGUGGCGAAGGCGGAUCUCUGGGCCUGUCCUGACGCUGAGGCGCGAAAGCUAGGGGAGCGAACAGG